RNAcentral lists this ribosomal RNA (92 nucleotides) under Paenibacillus phytohabitans. Its description in RNAcentral is "Paenibacillus sp. LMG 31459 partial 16S ribosomal RNA". The record is from RNAcentral. Lineage: Bacteria; Bacillati; Bacillota; Bacilli; Caryophanales; Paenibacillaceae.
UUUGGAGAGUUUGAUCCUGGCUCAGGACGAACGCUGGCGGCAUGCCUAAUACAUGCAAGUCGAGCGGAGUUAUGAAGGAGCUUGCUCCGGAU